Molecule: ribosomal RNA, 440 nt
Filed under: uncultured bacterium
Lineage: Bacteria
Description: partial 16S ribosomal RNA
Rfam family: Bacterial small subunit ribosomal RNA
Source: RNAcentral
CCUACGGGUGGCAGCAGUGGGGAAUAUUGCACAAUGGGGGAAACCCUGAUGCAGCGACGCCGCGUGAGUGAAGAAGUAUCUCGGUACGUAACGCUCUAUCAGCAGGGAAGAAAAUGACGGUACCUGACUAAGACGCCCCGGCUAACUACGUGCCAGCAGCCGCGGUAAUACGUAGGGGGCGAGAGUUAUCCGGAUUUACUGGGUGUAAAGGGAGCGUAGAGGGCAGCAAAAGUAUGGAGUCAAACCCCGGGGCUUAACCCGGGAACUGCUUGUGAAACUGUGGGGCUGGAGUGCAGGAGGGGUAAGCGGAAUUCCUAGUGGAGCGGGGAAAUGCGUAGAUAUUAGGAGGAACACCAGUGGCGAAGGCGACUUACUGGACUGUAACUGACGUUGAGGCUCGAAAGCGUGGGGAGCAAACAGGAUUAGAUACCCUGGUAGUC